Dipodomys spectabilis (banner-tailed kangaroo rat) is the source of this 195-nucleotide small nuclear RNA. RefSeq annotates it as U2 spliceosomal RNA. The transcript has a single exon. NCBI's taxonomy places the organism in Eukaryota, Metazoa, Chordata, Mammalia, Rodentia, Heteromyidae. The record is from RefSeq and is a predicted model, not a curated record.
AUCGCUUCUCUGCCUUUUGGCUAAGAUCAAGUGUCAUAUCUGUUCUUAUCAGUUUAAUAUCUGAUACAUCAUUUAACCAAGGACAAUAUACAGAGUUUGGCCAGAGAGGGAAAAUCCAGGCAGAUUGGUGAAUGAGACAGAUCUGAGCACUUGUUGGUAGCCAUAGCUGUAAGUGGCUGCGGUGGCAAAUGUGGC